RNAcentral lists this ribosomal RNA (253 nucleotides) under uncultured bacterium. RNAcentral describes it as "partial 16S ribosomal RNA". It matches the Rfam family "Bacterial small subunit ribosomal RNA", at positions 524 to 776 of the family's 1533-position model. The record is from RNAcentral.
GACAGAGGGUGCAAACGUUGUUCGGAAUUACUGGGCGUAAAGGGCGCGUAGGCGGCCAGAUAAGUCAGCUGUGAAAUCCCGGGGCUCAACUCCGGACGUGCAUUUGAAACUAUUUGGCUAGAGUACAGUAGAGGUUGGUGGAAUUCCCAGUGUAGAGGUGAAAUUCGUAGAUAUUGGGAGGAACACCGGUGGCGAAGGCGGAUCUCUGGACCAGUUCUGACACUGAUGAGCGAAAGCCAGGGGAGCAAACAGG